This is a non-coding RNA of Delphinapterus leucas (beluga whale), 3128 nucleotides long. NCBI's taxonomy places the organism in Eukaryota, Metazoa, Chordata, Mammalia, Artiodactyla, Monodontidae. The record is from RefSeq and is a predicted model, not a curated record.
GCGCCCCGCGCCCCGCCCGCGGACGCAGCUCGGCCCUGCCGGCUCACCCUAGCUUGACUCCCCGCGAGGGCUGUGGGGAGGGGGCGAGGAGGAGGAGCCGAGGAGGAGCGACGGGGAGGAAGGAUCAGAAAAUGCUGUGUUGAGAGGCACCGCAGAGGUCAACUGGGCCACCUCCCUUAGAUCUCCCUGAGGUUGCAGACCAAAUGAACUCUCUGGCUGCUGCUUUGUCUCCCCACAGCUGGCUCCAGAGGGAGCAGGGUGCAUCACACCCGCUUUCCCACAUCUUCACGCUGAGCUGAGCUGCUCAGCCCUGUGGGUGGAGCUGCAGCAGGUGCUGCCAGGGCCAGUCCCUGAGUCAUCAAACCUGCCGGCUCUUGUACCACAUCUCCUUCCAUCUCGUGUUCAUGUCCAAGCCCUCAUCCAUGCAGUCUCGACCCGGCAUUUACUUACAGCCAGGCUCUCCUGCCUCCACCAUCACCAGGCUAAUCUUUCUAAACCCAGUACGCGGGCCUCUCACUGUUGUGGCCUCUCCCGUUGCGAAGCACAGGCUCCGGACACGCAGGCUCAGCGGCCAUGGCUCAUGGGCCCAGCCACUCAGCGGCAUGUGGGAUCUUCCCGGACUGGGGCACGAACCUGUGUCCCCUGCAUCGGCAGGCGGACUCUCAACCACUGCGCCACCAGGGAAGCCCAGUACUGAAUAGUUUAUGGGAGUAAGGCUGUCUUGGAGAGCUCUAGAUCUGCCCCCAUCCCCAAACAUGGGCAGGGUGGACGCCACUUACAGUGCAAGCCUGCCUUAUCUGAAUGGAGAAUCCUGUGCCCUUGUGCAAGAGCCGACAUGUGUGUUUCACAUUUCUUAGUUGGGCACCCGAGUUCAUGCAGAGACACUUACUUGUUCAAUUCCUGACUUUUAGCCCUGCCCCACCCUGCAGCUGCCUUCAAGUCCCAGCACUGAUAGACUGAGUAGAAGUGGGAGUCAGAGGAAGUAUGAGAACUCAGGACUGCAGAUUCAGAGACUGUGACAGGCUGUGGGAUGACUCUACCCCAGCCUCAGCCCAAGAGCCCUGGAAUUCCAGGACUUUACCUACCAUCACCAAGGAUAUGGCUGGCCACCUGAGACCAUGGGGGAAUGUGCCGUGAAGUGCCGGGAGGUUCCCAAACUCCAUGCAGGGCUACUAAUUUUAAUAUAAGGAAGCAAGACUAGGAUGUGUUUCUACUUAUUUUAGGGAGUGGAAAUCAAAUCAGUCAUAAGUACUCUGUACACACAAAGGGUGACUGUGAUGAGGCUUAAAGCGGAGGAGAAGAGCUAGUAAUAAUAUAGUACCAGUGAUGCUGAUAAUGACCGUAACUACCAAGCGUGAAGAUUAGCUUUGUGCUUAGCAGUAUAUGCUGAACAUUCACUUCUUUCAUUUAAGCCUCUCAAUAAUCCUAUGAUGUGCACGCUAUUAUUAUUUCCAUUUUACGGAUGGAGAAACUGAGGCUUCAAGGCAUGAGCUGCUUUCCCAAAGUCAUACAAAUGUUAAGUGCAGAAGUAGGAUCUGAAUUCCAGCAGUCUUACUCCAGCAACCAUACUGUGGAAGCCGGCGAUGCCUCCUUAAGCCCUGUCUGGGCUUGGAGAGGAUGUCCUCCCUGAUGGACCAGAGCGUGCCAGCCCCUGUGGCUGGUGUGGCAUUCUGAAAGACUGUCUGGCAAGUUUUGCUUGCUCUGGUUUCUCACUAAAACAACCUUUGGAUUUGGCUUCCCAGGCGACUCACAUACAGGAAAAGAGGGCCAUGACCUGCCAACAUGACAGCUGUAUUUUUCACUAGUAACUUAAUAAACUGGCUGCCUGGGUUCACAUACGUACCUGUUUCUGACAGCUUGGUUAAGGUGAGCCCACCCCAGAGCUGAGGCCAUGUGCCAACUUAAUUGAGAUUCUGGGCAUGCAAGCGUAGCCCCCAGCUGAGGCCUCUGUGCCAAGGAAAUUCCUCUUGGCCUCCUUUUGGCUGGUUUGGCCCGCCUUCCCCAGUGACAGUCUGGCUCUUUGGAUUCAAGCUGCCUGGUCAAACUGUGAGGGUCUGCAGAAAGAAGGAAGCAACAGUGCCAGGUUCCAGUGCGUGUUCCAAGUUCCACAUUCUGCCUACAGACGCCCGGUGCCAGAGCAAAGGCUGGCCCUUGGCAGUGGACUGCUCAGAACGUGGAACUCUGGAGACACUCCUGAAACUCUGCCCUAAGUCAAAGGAACCAGAGAGUCCACCAGUUCUCCCUCCACCUCCCUUUCCAGGAGCAGCCACGGCCCUGAGUGAUGUCAAUGUGCAGAAGCAGAUUAAGCAGGUGAUGGCUUUCAUUGAGCAGGAAGCCAGUGAGAAGGCCGAAGAAGUAGACGCCAAGGCUGAGGAAGAGUUCAACAUUGAGAGAGGACGCCUUGUGCAAACCCAAUGACUGAAGAUUAUGGCGUAUUAUGAGAAGAAAGAGAAGCAGAUAGAGCAGCAGAAGAAAAGCCAGAUGUCUACCAUGAGGAAUCAGGCAAGGCUGAAAGUCCUGAGGGCCCGAAACGACCUCAUCUCAGAGUUGCUGAAUGAUGCAAAGCUGAGACUCAGCAGGAUCGUGGCAGACCCAGUAUUUCACCAGGGGCUGCUGGAUAAACUAGUGCUCCAGGGUCUGCUCCGACUGCUGGAGCCUGUGGUGAUUGUACGCUGCAGGCCACAGGACCUCCUCCUGGUGGAGGCUGCAGUGCAAAAAGCCAUCCCUCAAUACACGACAGUCUCCCACAAACGUGUGGAAGUCCAAGUUGACAGAGGGGUGCAACUGGCUACAGAUGCGGCUGGAGGUGUGGAGUUCUACAGUGGUGAUCAGAGAAUAAUGGUUUCCAAUACUCUGGAGAGUCGACUGGAUCUCUUAUCCUGGCAAAAGAUGCCAGAAAUACGAAAGGCCUUGUUUGGAGCCAGUGCCAACAGGAAGUUCUUUAUAUAAGCCUCUAGGAAGUGAAGCUCAUCUUGAAUUUCUAAGCUAUAAAAGCAUGAGUUAUUAGGACAAAGGAAAACAGUAAUACCUCCUCCUCUUUUUUGCUCUGGUAUUAGUCUGUCUUCAUGAAAUACCCUUUGACUAGCUAAAGGCAUUACACUUUGGAAUAAAGCCUGACUUAGUGCUUA